This is a ribosomal RNA of Ruegeria pomeroyi DSS-3, 2896 nucleotides long. It matches the Rfam family "Bacterial large subunit ribosomal RNA". The record is from Rfam. NCBI's taxonomy places the organism in Bacteria, Pseudomonadati, Pseudomonadota, Alphaproteobacteria, Rhodobacterales, Roseobacteraceae.
AAUCAAGCGCGAGAAGGGCGUUUGGUGGAUGCCUUGGCAGCAAGAGGCGAUGAAGGACGUGAUACUCUGCGAUAAGUCAUGGGGAGCCGAGAAUAGGCUUUGAUCCAUGAAUCUCCGAAUGGGGCAACCCACCUGACAUUCUGUUAUUGUUAGCCUUCGGGUUAUCAAUAACGGGGUGAAACAGGUACUUAAGACCUGAAUACAUAGGGUUUUAAGAGCAAACCCGGGGAACUGAAACAUCUAAGUACCCGGAGGAAAGGAAAUCAAUUGAUACUCCCCUAGUAGUGGCGAGCGAACGGGGAUCAGCCGAGCCUUGAGAAUGAGAAGAACAUGUUGGGAAGCAUGGCCAUAGCGGGUGAUAGCCCCGUAUUCGAAGUUCGAUGGGACGUAUUAAGUAGGGCGGGACACGUGAAAUCCUGUCUGAAGAUCGGAGGACCACCUUCGAAGGCUAAGUACUCCUUGCUGACCGAUAGCGAACCAGUACCGUGAGGGAAAGGUGAAAAGCACCCCGACGAGGGGAGUGAAACAGUACCUGAAACCGGACGCCUACAAGCAGUCGGAGGGACCUCGAGUCCUGACGGCGUACCUUUUGUAUAAUGGGUCAUCGACUUGGUCUCACGAGCAAGCUUAAGCCGUUAGGUGUAGGCGCAGCGAAAGCGAGUCUUAAUAGGGCGUCGAGUUCGUGGGAUCAGACCCGAAACCGAGUGAUCUAGGCAUGGCCAGGUUGAAGGCAAGGUAACACUUGCUGGAGGACCGAACCCACAUCCGUUGAAAAGGAUCGGGAUGAGCUGUGCCUAGGGGUGAAAGGCCAAUCAAACUCGGAGAUAGCUGGUUCUCCGCGAAAUCUAUUUAGGUAGAGCGUCAUCCGAAUACCCCGGGGGGUAGAGCACUGGAUGGGUAAUGGGGCCCCACAGGCUUACUGAUCCUAACCAAACUCCGAAUACCCGGGAGUACUAGAUGGCAGACACACUGCGGGUGCUAACGCCCGUAGUGGAGAGGGAAACAACCCUGACCUCCAGCUAAGGCCCCCAAUUCAUGGCUAAGUGGGAAAGCAGGUGGGAUGUCCAAAACAACCAGGAGGUUGGCUUAGAAGCAGCCAUCCUUUAAAGAUAGCGUAACAGCUCACUGGUCUAAUCAAGACGUCCUGCGGCGAAGAUGUAACGGGGCUCAAGCCAUGAGCCGAAGCUGAGGAUGCCGUAAGGCAUGGUAGCGGAGCGUAGUGUGACAUAGUCUCAUGUCUCUUUAGCUCAUUUGAUCUCGACCAAUCGCUGAGUGGGUGCAGGCAACUGCCCUCAAGUAGCGAAGCGGUAGGGCAUCAAAAAUGAGCGUCGGAGACGCGAGGCUUUCGAUGAAGCCGGGGCGUGAGCCAUCCGGUGGAGAGAUCACUAGCGAGAAUGAUGACAUGAGUAGCGACAAAGAGUGUGAGAGACACUCUCGCCGAAAGUCCAAGGGUUCCUGCUUAAAGCUAAUCUGAGCAGGGUAAGCCGGCCCCUAAGCCGAGGCCGAAAGGCGUAGGCGAUGGGAACUAGGUUAAUAUUCCUAGGCCAGGAGGAUGUGACGGAUCACGGAUGUAGUUCAGCCUUAUCGGAUUGGCUGGGCUGCUGAGUGGUCCCUGGAAAUAGCCCUCCAUCAGACCGUACCCUAAACCGACACAGGUGGACUGGUAGAGAAUACCAAGGCGCUUGAGAGAACGAUGUUGAAGGAACUCGGCAAAAUACCUCCGUAAGUUCGCGAGAAGGAGGCCCGGGUUCAAGGCAACUUGGAUCCGGGGGCACAAACCAGGGGGUGGCGACUGUUUAUUAAAAACACAGGGCUCUGCGAAGUCGCAAGACGACGUAUAGGGUCUGACGCCUGCCCGGUGCCUGAAGGUUAAAAGGAGGGGUGCAAGCUCCGAAUUGAAGCCCAGGUAAACGGCGGCCGUAACUAUAACGGUCCUAAGGUAGCGAAAUUCCUUGUCGGGUAAGUUCCGACCUGCACGAAUGGCGUAACGACUUCCCCGCUGUCUCCAACAUCGACUCAGCGAAAUUGAAUUGCCUGUCAAGAUGCAGGCUUCCCGCGGUUAGACGGAAAGACCCCGUGCACCUUUACUACAGCUUCGCACUGGCAUCAGGAUUGUGAUGUGCAGGAUAGGUGGUAGGCUUUGAAGCAGGAACGCCAGUUCCCGUGGAGCCAACCUUGAGAUACCACCCUUCGCACUCUUGAUGUCUAACCGCGGUCCGUUAUCCGGAUCCGGGACCCUGCGUGGCGGGUAGUUUGACUGGGGCGGUCGCCUCCUAAAGCGUAACGGAGGCGCGCGAAGGUUGGCUCAGAGCGGUCGGAAAUCGCUCGUUGAGUGCAAUGGCAGAAGCCAGCCUGACUGCAAGACUGACAAGUCGAGCAGAGACGAAAGUCGGCCAUAGUGAUCCGGUGGUCCCGAGUGGAAGGGCCAUCGCUCAACGGAUAAAAGGUACGCCGGGGAUAACAGGCUGAUACUGCCCAAGAGUCCAUAUCGACGGCAGUGUUUGGCACCUCGAUGUCGGCUCAUCUCAUCCUGGGGCUGGAGCAGGUCCCAAGGGUACGGCUGUUCGCCGUUUAAAGAGGUACGUGAGCUGGGUUUAGAACGUCGUGAGACAGUUCGGUCCCUAUCUGCCGUGGGUGUAGGAUACUUGAGAGGAGUUGCCCCUAGUACGAGAGGACCGGGGUGAACGAUCCACUGGUGGACCUGUUGUUGCGCCAGCAGCAGUGCAGGGUAGCUAUGAUCGGACAGGAUAACCGCUGAAGGCAUCUAAGCGGGAAGCCCCCCUCAAAACAAGGUAUCCCUGAGGGCCGUGGAAGACCACCACGUCAAUAGGCCGGAGAUGUAAGCGCAGCAAUGCGUUCAGUUGACCGGUACUAAUCGCCCGAUAGGCUUGAUCCG